CGUAGCGCUAACCGNAAGGGNUAGCCGCCCAAGGUACAGCUCAUGAUUGGGGUG
Molecule: ribosomal RNA, 54 nt
Filed under: uncultured bacterium
Lineage: Bacteria
Description: partial 16S ribosomal RNA
Source: RNAcentral